GUACUGCAGUCGAGCGGACGGAUGGAGAGCUUGGUCCCUGUAUGUUAGACGGCGGACGGGUGAGUAACACGUGUGUAACCUGUCGCUGUAUAGACUGUGAUAACUCUCGCGGAGAACCGCGGGCGUCAAUACCCGCGAGUGUCAUAUGUUUGUAGACACGUCGACUGUGUGUCUACAGACAUAUAAGGUGGCUUCGCGCGUACGACUUAUAGAUGGACCCGCGGCGCAUUAUCUAGUUGGGGAGGUAAAGGCUCACCAAGGCGACGAUGCGUAGCCGACAUGAGAGGGUGGAGCGCCCACACUGGGACUGAGACACGGCCCACACUCCUACGGGAGGGAGCAGUAGGGAAUCUUCCGCAAUGGACGAAAGUCUGAGGGAGCAACGCCGCGCGAGUGAUGAAGGUUUUCGGAUCGCAAAGCUCUGUUGUGAGGGAAGAACAAACGUGCCGGUUCAAAUAGGGCGGCGAGCCUUGGGGGUGAGCUCUAACCAGAAAGCCGACGGCUAAUCAUACGUGCCGACCAGCCGCGGUGAAUACGUAGGUGGCGAGAGCGUUGUCCGGAAUUAUUGGGCGUAAAGGGCUGCGCAGGCGGUGUGUCUUAAAUCUGAUGAUGAAGAGCCGCCCGGCUCAACACGGGGAGAGUGCGAUCUGUAAACUGGGGAACUAUGAGUGCAGCAAGAAGAAGAGUGUAAUUCCACGUGUAGUCGCUGGAAAUGCGUAGUAGAUAUGUAGAAACACCACUG
This 742-nucleotide ribosomal RNA is filed under the name uncultured bacterium. RNAcentral's name for it is "bacterial SSU rRNA". It matches the Rfam family "Bacterial small subunit ribosomal RNA", at positions 51 to 714 of the family's 1533-position model. The record is from RNAcentral.